RNAcentral lists this transfer RNA (85 nucleotides) under Alphaproteobacteria bacterium. RNAcentral describes it as "tRNA-Leu". It matches the Rfam family "tRNA". From Rfam's summary of the family: Transfer RNA (tRNA) molecules are approximately 80 nucleotides in length. Their secondary structure includes four short double-helical elements and three loops (D, anti-codon, and T loops). Further hydrogen bonds mediate the characteristic L-shaped molecular structure. tRNAs have two regions of fundamental functional importance: the anti-codon, which is responsible for specific mRNA codon recognition, and the 3' end, to which the tRNAs corresponding amino acid is attached (by aminoacyl-tRNA synthetases). tRNAs cope with the degeneracy of the genetic code in two manners: having more than one tRNA (with a specific anti-codon) for a particular amino acid; and 'wobble' base-pairing, i.e. permitting non-standard base-pairing at the 3rd anti-codon position. Lineage: Bacteria; Pseudomonadati; Pseudomonadota; Alphaproteobacteria. The record is from RNAcentral.
GGGCAUAUGGCGGAACUGGUAGACGCGCUAGUUUCAGGUACUAGUGGGGCGACCCUUGGAAGUUCGAGUCUUCUUAUGCCCACCA